UUGAAAAUCCCCCAUUUUAUAAACCACCGGUAGAGAAACCACCUGUGUAUAAACCACCAAUAGAGCAACCUCCAAUUUAUAAGCCACCUGUAGAAAAUCCUCCAAUUUAUAAACCACCAGUAGAGAAACCACCCGUGUAUAAACCACCGUUUGAGAAACCUCCAAUCUACCAUCCACCAGUAGAGAUACCACCAGUGUACAACCCACCAGUUGAACAUCCUCCAAUUUACAAGCCUCCUGUAUACAAACCACCAGUAGAGCAACCUCCCGUCUAUAAGCCACCAGUAGAGAAGCCUCCAAUUUACAAGCCACCAGUAGAGAAACCUCCUGUUUACCAACCUCCUGUUUACAAGCCCCCAGUUGAGAAACCUCCAGUGUACAAGCCACCUGUAGAAAAGCCACCAGUGUACAAGCCACCUGUAGAAAAGCCACCAGUGUACAAGCCACCUGUAGAAAAGCCUCCUAUAUACAAACCACCAGUAGAGAAACCACCAGUGUACAAACCACCCGUUGAGAAACCCCCGGUUUAUAAGCCACCAGUAGAGAAACCACCUGUGUACAAGCCACCAGUUGAGAAGCCCCCAAUUUACAAGCCACCAGUAGAGAAACCACCUGUAUACAAGCCACCAGUUGAGAAGCCUCCAGCUUACAAGCCACCAGUUGAGAAGCCACCUGUAGAGAAACCACCAGUGUACAAGCCACCGGUUGAGAAGCCCCCAAUUUACAAACCACCAGUUGAGAAGCCUCCAGUGUACAAGCCACCGGUUGAGAAACCACCUGUCUACAAGCCACCUGUAGAAAAUCCACCUGUUUACAAGCCACCAUUUGAGAAACCUCCAAUUUAUAAACCGCCAAUAGAGUAUCCACCCGUGUACAAGCCCCCUUUUGAGAAACCCCCCAUCUACAAGCCACCUGUAGAGAAACCUCCUUUUUACAAGCCUCCGUUUGAGAAUCCACCAUUUUAUAUACCUCCAGUUGAGGAGCCUCCUGUUUACAAGCCUCCAUUCGAGAAGCCACCAAUUUACACUCCUCCAUUCUAGAGCCCACCUUACCACCCAAAGUUCCCUCGGGCAGGCGAUGGUACUCGUUAAUAGAACAUGCUAUGAAGAAAAUAUGUUAAAUAAGAGAUAUAUAGAGUUUUUUAUUUAAUCAAGGAAUAUAUAUAUUCAUGUAAUCUUCAUUUCAAUACUUUGUUUACAAUACUCUUGCUAUGAUAAGAAUAUGAGUGAAAAACAGAGAAAGAAAAUAGUGUGCUUUUCUAUUCGAAAUUAUGAAUAAGAUUUCUAUGAUUUAGAUGUUGUGUUGGUUGACUAAAUCGUGAUACAUCGACAGAGGCAGAGCCCCUCAUGCGCCAAGGUGGGUCAUGGCCCACCCCCAAAUUUUGUUUCUUAUUAUAUAUAUAUUAUGUUUUGUAAAUUUUUGAUGUUUUUGUAGCAUGUUGUAGUGGUUAAGAGCCUUUUUGCCAAGUCGUAUGUGCUAGGUUCAACUCUUGCCAAAACCAUUUUUAUUUAUUCUUUUAUUUUCUUUUGUAUAAAAAAAAAACAUAAUUCAUAAUUGUUAAAAUAAUCCUUUUUUUUGUUACUUAAUCCUUUCUUUCUUUAAUAAAACAUAACUCCUUUAUUCGAUUUAAAAUAAUCUUUCCUUUCCUUACUCUUAUUUUUGGAUACAAUUGUCUCUUUACUCUUUUAUUUUAAUUUUUUUUUUAUACAAAGGGGACUUCAACUCUUUUUUGUCAAAAAACAUUCUCUUUUAAAACAUAUAACAUAUUUUUUAUACUUAGUCGUUUGAUUCAAUUCGAUUUUAUACCUAUACAUCUGUUUAUUGAAGUCGAGUCAUUUAAUUCAGUCGUUAGGUUCAAUGGCCUAGUUGUUCGAUCAAUUAUCUUGAACUUUAUCAAGGUUGAUAAACAGUUCAUAUUUUAAAAUACCGGUUUAAAUUAUAUUCAACAAAUAACAAAUUUAUAGUCAUUGGAACCAACCAAUAAUAAAAUGUACUUGUAAGAAAAUAAAGCCUCAUCACUAUUUAUGGCCCACCCUAUACUUUUUUCCUAGCUCCGCCACUUUACAUCUUCGUAUUCUUUAGGAAGUUUCAACCUUGUUGACUAUGACAACAGUGACGACUAUAACGAGACUCGCUAUUGACUAUGACAACAGUGACGACUAUAACGAGACUCCCUACUUUUUGGUUUGCUUCAACAGGUUCUCAACAUAAAUAACUAACCAAGUUAAUUUGCCUGUGAAAUGUGAUAUUAGUAAGGUGCAUGAAGGUUAAGUUCUUUAGCAAAGCUUAGUAUCUUGAAUUAAAGAAUAUCGUUAAUUAAACUAAAUAUUCAUAUUAGGUAUCACAAUUUUCAAGACUUUAUAUGUACGUGUUGAUCCAUUAAUUAAGAGAAAUUAGACUUUAGACCCGUGCGUCGCACGGGUCAUUUCGACUAAUAUAUAAUAAUAAGUAAUGGUAAAAAAAAUUCUAAAAUAAAUAAAAGAUGAAGAGUAUUAUACAUUUUACUUACUCAAGUUCAAAAAAUAAAGUAGGAGAUGACAUGAAAUCGUUUAGUUGAAACAAACGAAUAUUAAAAAAUAAAAAUUAGACAACGACAGGGAUCUAAAAUUCUAUUUCUAAUCCUUCACAUAUCAAAAUUACAAUUGGUUCUCUUCAUUGUAAUCAUCUAAACUUAAUUAAAAAAUUUACAAGUGCAAAUAGAAUCGACAUUAUACAAGUCACUACUUGAUUCCAAAAACCUAUGUUUCAUGAAAACCACUCAUACCUAAAUAACAAUAAUAAACCUUCAAAACAAAAAUCAACUAUUCUCAAAGGACCCAAAAGAAAGAUUUUUAGCCUUCUAAAUCACAAUUUCUCUUGUUGUAUUGUUUUUGUGUCAAAAGCACCAUAAGUUGAAUAGUAGGCUCAGACACAUGACUUUCCUCAUAAGACAAAAUCACCAGUUUUUUAUAGGUUGAAAAAAUAAAUCAAAUAUCCUUAACUUUCAAUAACGCUUAGAAACAACUGAAACUUUUGCAUUAUCUCAAUCCACAAACAAAAUUGAAGACCUUUAUAUUUGCUUUAGGCACCUUAAGGAAUUCUAUGUAAAUUGUUUUCCUGCAAUGAAAUGCUAAACACAAUGAGCAAAGAAGAAGAAUUAACAACAAUAUUUGGAUUGUUUUAUUUAGCUUACAAUUCUUUAAACUAAUCAANAACACAAUGAGCAAAGAAGAAGAAUUAACAACAAUAUUUGGAUUGUUUUAUUUAGCUUACAAUUCUUUAAACUAAUCAACAAAAAAUUAAAUUUGCAUUAUAUCCUCCACAAUAUCAAGAAUUUUUCAAAGGGAUCAUUCUAUUUGUAUGGCUAUGAUGAGAACUCAUGUGUGUCCAUGAAGACCAGCUCUACGGAUAACCAUGUUCAUAUUAACUAUUUUAGGAGUGAAAAUAGGAUUGGAUUGGAUUUAGUAGUGAGCUGUUGUUUUUGAUUUCAGAAGCAUUUGAAAAUAACAUUUUGAUUAAAUGGAAAUAAUAGGAAGAAUUUGUUAAUAAAAGUGAUUUUUUUUUUUUUUUUUAUGUUGAUCUUUUUAUUGUUGUGUUAGAAACAAAAUAGGACGAAAUUGUAUUUUUUUUUUUAUGUUUAUCUUUUUAUUGUUGUGUUGGAAACAAAAUAGGAGGAAAUUGUUAUAGGAAUAGGAGGAACGAUUUUUAAAGUUUAUCUCUUAAUUAAACAGGUUUAAUUGAACACGGGGGUAAUAACGUAAAAGUCAUCAUAAAAUCUAGGUUAAAAUUAGGUUAAAAAUUGGCUUACGGGUUAACUUUUAUAUAUAAAGAAGUCAAGAGAAUCUAGAUCUGUGAAGCCCCGAUACUUCAAAAUGGAUGAUGUAUCGUAUCCGCUGCGUAUUCUGUAUCGAUACCUGCCCGAUACUUCUCAAAUUUAUGAGUUUUAUUUGAUUCUUCGAAUUCGAAUUUUGAGAAUUUUAGGGUUUGAAGGUUGGUGAUGGAGGUGAAUCUGAGUUUAUAUUAAGAAUUGAUGAAGAAUUUAAGGAGAGUGCAGUGAUGGAUAGGUAACUGAGUAUGAAUUGGUAUGCAGUUUGGAAAAACAAAACAAGAGGCAGUAGCAGCACCCCCACCCUUCCUCUACUUCUUCGACAAUAUGAGUGUUAGAUUCAUUUUCCUAGGUGUGAUUUUGAGGCAGAUGAAUAUGUGUGAGAGAUUGUAGAGGAAGAUCUCAGAUAUAGCUUUUAGGGAUGAACAUGAAUGAAUGAAUUUGUAGAUGAAGAUGAAUGUUGUUUGAACAUUUAAUUAAGAAAUUUUUAAUUGUUUUUUGUUUUAAUAUUUGAAAUUAUUAAAUUGUAUUUUGAAAUUCAAAAAACCUGUUUUAAUGACAUGUAAAUGACAUUUUCCAAAUUGGCAAUGCCACAUAGGCAAAAUUUUACCACCUGUGCAUUUUUGGAUGUGAAAAUAGGGGGUAAGACUAAAACUGCAACAAAAAUGAUAAUUGAAAAACAAUUUUAAUCUGUUUUAAAAGGGCAGGACCAAUUUCCUGAGUAGGCCACAACACGAGGACCAAAAGUGUAAUUAAGCCUUAUAUUUAUGUUGAUGUGCUACAAGCUUAUGACUGGUUUCUUUUGUUUGAUAAUAUAUUUGCAUAUUAAAUAAAAUGGUUAUAAUUAUAUUCUACAUUUAAUUAUAUAAUUUUUUUAUUGACGUAUCCCAACCAUAUCGUAUCUUGAUUUUUGAAAUUUUUUCGUAUUGACGUAUCGGUGCAGUAUCGUAUCUCGUAUUCGGGCUUCAUAGAUCUAGACUAUUAAUUUUUUUGAUAAACAAGAUUAUUAUUAUUUUUUGACAAAAACAAAGUGAGAUUCAUUCAUUCAAAUUGAUAGAGUACAUCAGAUACAAACAUUGCUAAAAACGUAAAGGAUAAAUCUAUGAACAAACUCACAACACUAAAGUUCAUACAACAGCAAAAUGUCUACAAAUAAUAUGAUAAAAUCUAAGUCACCAAAAUAUUCAUGCUUCCGGGUAUGCAACGUUGGCGCCCAAAUCAUUGAUUGAAUUUGUAAUUGACUAAUGUCGAUCUUUCAACAUGAACUAAACGAACACCGCGUCAAGACGCGAAAUCAAACAUCACAUAAGACCACUAACAACACAAUGCCACAAUUAGAUGACGAAAUCACAAAAACUCAAAAGGGAAAACUUGAUAUAUGUGAAAACCAUUUGUUUAGAUCGAAAGAAAAGAGAAAAAACGAUGUAGAGGGGUGAUUUUAGGUCAAAAAUGACCUAAAACCAGUUCUUUUUAAUAAACGAAGGAGAAAGAAUGUUUAGAGAGAAGUUGGAGUUUUUUUUUACUUAAAAAAUUAGGAUAAGCAAAAUUAUUAUAGAGGGAUAAAGGGCUCCCCAACCCAUAUACAAAAUGAUGGUUGCAAUGCCAUGUAGAAAAUAAAAAGAUAACAUUGCCUUUCUUUUUACAAUUAAACUAGUUACAAACCCGUGCGUUGCACGGGUUUAAUAACGUAUUUUAUAAAAAAAAAAUCUUUUAAAAGAAAAAUGAGCAAAUUAAUGAAUAUUGCACAAACAUUAUAAAUCUUUAUCAAAAUAUUUAUGAAAGCUUUAUCAAGUCUUUAAUACACAUUAAUAUUUGUGAUGAUUGAUAAAAGAAUUAAAAAGAGUAAAGGGUAUAGAAAUAAAUUUAUUAAAGAAUUAACAAUUUGUUUAAACUUAUUUUUGUUACAAUUUAGACCAAAAAAAAUAUUGGACUUCAUUGAGUUUCUCUAUAAUUUUUUUAUCAGGCUUGAAGUUAUGACUCUGAGUUUGAAAACCGCAAAAUUCACAAAAAUUAUUGAAGAAACACUAUAAACAAAUAAACGGCAUCGUCAAAAAUGAAAUCAUAUUUGGCUAUAGUGAUCAAGCAAACAAAAAAAAAGAAGCAUAUUAAAUACCUAUAAUCAAUGGAUUCUAAUUGCAUAGAGGCGACACUUAUACUUUCUCUAUGUUUGUUCAUCAAUGAGAGUGAUUAUUUUGCGCUUUCCUUUCAGAAUUGUUCUUGACACCUAGUUUGGGAAAUGCUAAACAGGGAAAUAACUGUAAUAUUAAUCUAAUGCAUAUUAACAUGGAUAAGAUGUAUGCGAAUAUAGUUAUAUAUAACUUAUGAAAUGAAGGUAACAUAACUGAUUUUAAGCUAAAGAAAAUGUACCAUGACUUCUAAUUUAUCUUUCUAUUAUCUUCCUAUAAAGUCUAGAGAAAUGCAUGCAUGUGCAUUAUAUGUACCCCGUUGACCAAUUAACAUUUUUGAAACAAAUGAAAAUUAAGCAUCACUCCCGCAUGUGCAUCUAUAGCUAACACCAUUUGACAUUGAUGUCUUCGAACAUUUGGUGCAACUCUCAUAAUACCAUCCAAACUGGUUAGGAUUGAAUUUAGUUGUUUUUCCAAAUAGUGAUGGAGUAUGUAUCCUAACACAAAUUAUGCACGUGAAAUAAAGAAUAGUGCAAUAUGCAUUUUUAAUUUGUGCGUAAAAAAAUUCAAAGCAUGUUUGUGAAAAAAAAAAAAAAAAACAGACCUUGACUAAGUUUAUAGAUUCAUCAAUUGGCCUAACUUGAGACAGAUUGGAAAAAUCGUUCUACGAAGUACUUUUUAAACUUUACUUUUUAAUCUAUCUGAGCUUGAGAAGUGUUAAGUUCACGACAACAAUUCAAGAAACAUGGUCAAUAAACAAUCAAAUCAGAUUGUGAAAUAAUAAGUUACUCUAACACUGUAUUGUGAAAUCAUAAUGCAAACUUACUAAGUCUUAAACUUUUCAACAACCGGAUGAUGUAGGUUGAUGAGCAGCCUCGAACCUGACCAAUUGUUACAUCUAUUUGCGUUGUCAUUGACUACAAAAUAGAAGCAAAGAAUUCAAGGUAAAUAAAUGGUAAAUGAUAAAGCUACAAAGUAUUUUACCCAUAAUGUUACAUCAACUAUAUUCCCAAUGCUCUAAAUCUCUAUAUCGAGUUAUUACAUGAACUCGAUCACCCUAAAUCCGAGAAAGAAACCAAAAAAUAUAAAUAAAUCAAAAUGUAUACUAAUAAGUAACAUUGAUAAAUCAUAAAAGAAAUUACUACAAAUCUUAACUAACUUAUCUAACCUUUGCAUCACAAAUAAUGAGCUUCAUAUGUUGAUUCUCAUUACUACCAGUCACAAUUCAAGAAUCCAGUACUCCAAAUCCUAUUUUCCAAACGUCUAAAUCAUUUUUGAGAUACUUAAUGUAGUCAUAAUCCCUUGACAUUGAAAUUCAUAUAUAGAAAUACAAUAAUACAUCAUUUAAUUUUAUUCCCUUUGUUCAUUCUGAUAUCGAAAGAAGCUAACAUAUUUCUAUGUGAUCAAUUUUUGUAUCAUCAAAUUAACCUGAUCUUAAAUGUACAAAUUUCUAUCAUCAACUUUCUGGACCCCAAUGAUAUGAUCAAAACAAAUUUACACCAAUCAACUUUUUGCACGGCUCAAUGAUAUACGAAAGAAUAAAUAAAAUAUGAAAACUGUUACAGCUUUAGGAUUACUCACAAAAACUAAAAUAAUUGAAAUGCAUCAAUUAUUUUCAACUCCUGUACCAGAAGCUAAAAUAACAAUUGUGUCAAAACCUUACCAUCAGUUAAAAUUCAGUCAUCAUGACCUCUACUAUACUCCACAUAACAAAAGACGAUUUUUCUACAGCCAUGCAACAUAACAAAUUUUGGUACAUAAUCCAAUAACAAUUGGAAAAAAAAAAAAAAAACCCUUAAAAUGCAUAAUCAUGAAAAAAGGAAGAAAACCAUCUAUGAUGAAGCAAAAACUAAAACGGUGUCGAAAAAUGAAGCCCUUAAGCCAUAAAAAUCAGUCAACUCAAGUCAUGCAUGGUCUCAGAACCAUGAAAAAAGAUAGAAAAUGACCUUUUUUUUUUUUGUGGUGGCCGGGGUUUGAACUCCGGACCUUGCAUAUUUUAUGCAUUGUCCUACCAACUAAGCUAAGCUCACGAGGACGAAGAAAAUGACCUCUUAUGAAGAAGAAAGUGAAACAGUGUUCCCGACUGAACUUAGAUACCGUUUGGUCAAGGUUUUUUACAUUAUAAAAGUUACUUCAAAACAAAGUAAAAAUAAAGGCCUUUAUGAAAGAAACUAAAGUUAUUUGGUUUUUUUGUUUUGUUAGUUUUAAAGCUAUUUAAGUUUAAUGUUGUUUGGCAAAAUAUUGUACAAACUUUGAAUUUAUUAUUUUUUAUAUGGUGUCUGGGGUUCGAACUCCGGACUUGGCAUGUAUUUAUGCAUUGUUCCUAUCAACUGAGCUAAACUCAUGAGGACAAAACUUUGAAUUUAUUAUUAAUUAACAUAAUAAAUAAAUAAAAUGUUUAGAAUAAUUUAUGAAGGCUAAAAAUGUUAAAAAAAUAAAAGAUAUUUUUUUUACAAAUACGAUAUUUACUCAAUAACGUUUAUUUUGUGUAACAUGAAUACAAAUUAAUAUCAUCAUAUAAAUAACUUGUUAAAUAUUUGAAUAGGAGAAACAAUUUAAGGAGUCUGGAAUAAUAAUAUAAAUAAUAUCAAAAUAUUUGAUUUUUUCUAUUUCAAUUAUACUCUAUAACAAAUUUCGUUAUAAGAAUACCAUAUUUUUUGUGUCUUUCAAAAAGAUAAGAAUUUAUAUUAUAUGAUAUUAUAUUUGUUACAUUGUUGGUGUCAUGGAAACAGAUAUGUUUAAUUUUUUUGAACAUGAAAAUGAUAUGCAUAGUUUGUUACGAUAUAAAGGUGCAAUAUAUAUAUAUAUAUACACCUUUUUAGGCAUCUAUACCUUUUUUUGAAGAAAAGACAUCUACAAUUUUACUUUUAAUUAAAAUUUAAAUUUUAUAAAAAUAAUCAUACGCAUUAUGCAACGCUAAAAAAAAUUAUACACAUUAGCGUAACAAAAAAACAGACACACAUAAAGAAUUACUCUAAACGCUAAUGUGUAUGUGCGUAUAUAUUUGCGAGGUUGAAGAAAGAAAAUACAAAUAUUUGAUAUCAUUAAAUGACAGCGUGAAUAAAAAUAUUUGUGAAGUUGUGAUGAUUAAACGAUAUUGAAAUUAUAAGUGAUAAAAAGAUAAUAAAAUUCCUUUGAAAAAAAGGUAAUAAAAUUAAAUGGAACCUCCUUAAAAAAAAUUAAAUUGAACGCUUCAAAUUAAAUGGAAGAAAAAAAUAUAUUGAAGUAUAAUAUUAAAAAAUAAAAAAAAAGGUUCCCAACGUGAAUUGAAGAGAGAUGCUUGUGAAAUAAAUUGUCGAGAAGUAGUUUUUUGAAGAAGCAUUCAACAACUUUUGGUCAAAGUUCAUUGCAUUCAAUUUUAUGCAUUAAAAAAGGUACAUUUUUUAGAAAGUACUUAAUUGAUAUUGUAUUUGACCUAACUUCUCCUUAAAAAUAUAGGGAAGUUGAAAAAAAAAACCGGGUCAAACGGUAUCUUAAUUUCCCACAACGGCAGUGUAGAAACAACUGAAUUUGGGAGAAAAAAAUUGGAAAAUAGUUAAAAAUAAAAAAAAUUGAAAAAUAGUUAAAAAAAAUCGGUGAGGUAGCACCUAACCAAACAACACUAAAAAAAAUUAUAUGCAUCAGCGUAACAAAAAAACAGACAGACGGACAUAAAAUAUUACUCUAAACGUUAAUGUGUGUGUAUAUAUUCGCGAGGUUGAAGAAAGGAAAUAAAAAUAUUUGGUAUCAUUAAAUGACAGCGUGAAUAAAAAUAUUUGUGAGGUUGUGAUGAUUAAACAAUAUUGAAAUUAAAAUAAUUAAUAUUGUGUUUGACCCAACUUCUCCUUAAAAAUUUAGAGAAGUUGGAAAAAAGUCGGGUCAAGCGAUACCUUAAUCUCCCACAACGGUAAUGUAGAAGCCACUGAAUUUGGGAGAAAAAAUUGGAAAAUAGUUAAAACUAAAAAAUAAAAAAAUCGGUGAGGUAGCACCCAACCAAGCAACACCAAAAAAAAAUUAUAUGCAUUAUCGUAACAAAAAAAUAGACAAACAGACAUAUAAUAUUACUCGAAACAUUAAUGUGUGUGUAUAUUCGCGAGGUUGAAGAAAGGAAAUAAAAAUAUUUGAUAUCAUUAAAUGACAACGUGAAUAAAUAUAUCUGUGAGGUUGUGAUGAUUAAAUAAUAUUUAAAUUAAAAUAAUUGAUAUUGUGUUUGACCUAACUUCUCCUUAAAAAUGUAGAGAAUUUGGAAAAAAGCCGGGUCAAACGAUACCUUAGUCUCCCACAACGGCAAUGUAGAAGCAACUGAAUUUGGGAGAAAAAAUUGAAAAAUAGUUAAAAACAUAAAAAUUGGAAAAUAGUUAAAAGUUAUUAAAAAUUAGAAAAUAAUUUAAAAAAUUGGUGAGGGGCAAAAUGGGAAAUUUGGCAUAAAAAAGAUGAGGUGGCACCAAACCAAACCCACCAAUUAGAAAAUUACUUAAAUGCCCAUUCCAGGGACAAAAUGGGAAUUUCAUAUGGCAUCAAUUUUAAUAGAGUAUAUAGACCACUCACAUUACACAAAUGUUGAAAUAUAUGAUGCAUAUUACUUUUUAAAUUUUUGGUUUAUAGUUGCAUUUUUUUUAGGGUUAAUAGUGUUUUUCACCCUUGUAAUAUAUGUCAUUUUCGGUUUUCGACCCUAUAAAAUUUUUAGUUUUAUUUUAACCCUCGUAAAAUUUUUAUUUUCCGGAAAAGACCCUUAAUAGGCCAUUCAAAAACCAAAAUUUCUUGAAAAAAAUUCUGAAAAUGGCCUAUUAGGGGUCUUUUCCGGAAAAUAAAAAUUAUACGAGGGACCACCUGUUGAGAAACCACCUGUACACAAGCCACCAGUUGAGAAGCUACCUGUUUACAAGCCACCUGUAGAGAAACCUCCGGUGUACAAGCCACCUGUUGAGAAGCCCCCAGUUUACAAACCUCCAGUAGAGAAGCCUCUAGUGCACAAGCCACCAGUUGAUAAACCACCUGUACACAAGCCACCAGUUGAGAAGCUACCUGUUUACAAGCCACCUGUAGAGAAACCUCCGGUGUACAAGCCACCAGUUGAGAAGCCCCCAGUUCACAAACCUCCAGUAGAGAAGCCUCCAGUUCACAAACCUCAAGUGGAGAAGCCACCUGUAUACAAGCCACCAGUUGAGAAGUUUCCAAUUUACAAACCUCUAGUAGAGAAGCCUCCAGUGCACAAGCCACGAGUUGAGAAACCACCUGUACACAAGCCACCAGUUGAGAAGCUACCUUUUUACAAGCCACCUGCAAAGAAACCUCCGGUGUACAAGCCACCAGUUGAGAAGUCCCCAGUUUACAAACCUCCGUUAGAGAAGCCUCCAGUGCACAAGCCACCGGUUGAGAAACCACCUGUAUACAAGCCACCAAUUGAGAAGCCCCCAGUUCACAAGC
RNAcentral lists this long non-coding RNA (11337 nucleotides) under Medicago truncatula (barrel medic). RNAcentral's name for it is "long non-coding RNA (MTRU_LNC001595)". Lineage: Eukaryota; Viridiplantae; Streptophyta; Magnoliopsida; Fabales; Fabaceae. The record is from RNAcentral.